This 429-nucleotide ribosomal RNA is filed under the name Acidobacteriota bacterium. Its description in RNAcentral is "Acidobacteria bacterium partial 16S ribosomal RNA". It matches the Rfam family "Bacterial small subunit ribosomal RNA", at positions 355 to 776 of the family's 1533-position model. The record is from RNAcentral. Lineage: Bacteria; Pseudomonadati; Acidobacteriota.
UGGGGAAUUUUGGACAAUGGGGGAAACCCUGAUCCAGCCAUCCCGCGUGUGCGAUGAAGGCCUUCGGGUUGUAAAGCACUUUUGGCAGGAAAGAAACGUCAUGGGUUAAUACCCCGUGAAACUGACGGUACCUGCAGAAUAAGCACCGGCUAACUACGUGCCAGCAGCCGCGGUAAUACGUAGGGUGCAAGCGUUAAUCGGAAUUACUGGGCGUAAAGCGUGCGCAGGCGGUUCGGAAAGAAAGAUGUGAAAUCACAGAGCUCAACUUUGGAACUGCAUUUUUAACUACCGGGCUAGAGUGUGUCAGAGGGAGGUGGAAUUCCGAGUGUAGCAAUGAAAUGCGUAGAUAUGCGGAGGAACACCGAUGGCGAAGGCAGCCUCCUGGGAUAACACUGACGCUCAUGCACGAAAGCGUGGGGAGCAAACAGG